Molecule: long non-coding RNA, 428 nt
Filed under: Setaria viridis
Lineage: Eukaryota; Viridiplantae; Streptophyta; Magnoliopsida; Poales; Poaceae
Description: long non-coding RNA (SVIR_LNC000303)
Source: RNAcentral
UUUUCUUGGGCCGGUUAUCCAUUUUCGCUUAUCUCGGAUUGGUUUCCAACUCCGGUGUUCCAAGGCUGUGACAACGACGCCCAGUACGCACCAAGUACUUCAUUCAUUAAUCGACAAAAACUAAGGGGGUGAUAGGUAGACCGAAUACCGUGAUCCAAUGCACCAUCCUGCUCCACACCGUGCAUGUUAGCUUUGAUUGGUUUCUACACCCGCAUGGUCUCGUUCAGAUUUCAUCCUCCAUCCUAGACCGCAUGCUACGCAAGACUUGGUCUUCCUUUGCGAGCCAAGCUGAACUGAUACAAGAUCAUGGGCUCCACUUACAGCCACACAAAGCAGACCAUUGCACAACCAACCAAUCAACAACUCUGUCCAUCUUAGCUCAGACUAUGUGCAAACCAAUCAAACCUAUCUCUAUGCUUCUAUACUCC